RNAcentral lists this transfer RNA (73 nucleotides) under Ailuropoda melanoleuca (giant panda). It matches the Rfam family "tRNA". From Rfam's summary of the family: Transfer RNA (tRNA) molecules are approximately 80 nucleotides in length. Their secondary structure includes four short double-helical elements and three loops (D, anti-codon, and T loops). Lineage: Eukaryota; Metazoa; Chordata; Mammalia; Carnivora; Ursidae. The record is from Rfam by way of RNAcentral.
GCCUGGCUGGCUCAGUUGGUAGAGCAUAUCACUCUUGAUCAUGGCAUUGUGAGUUCGAGCCCCAUGUUGGGUA